RNAcentral lists this ribosomal RNA (443 nucleotides) under uncultured Oscillospiraceae bacterium. RNAcentral describes it as "bacterial SSU rRNA". It matches the Rfam family "Bacterial small subunit ribosomal RNA", at positions 338 to 795 of the family's 1533-position model. Lineage: Bacteria; Bacillati; Bacillota; Clostridia; Eubacteriales; Oscillospiraceae. The record is from RNAcentral.
CCUACGGGCGGCUGCAGUGGGGAAUAUUGGGCAAUGGGCGAAAGCCUGACCCAGCGACGCCGCGUGAAGGAUGAAGGUCUUCGGAUUGUAAACUUCUUUGAUCAGGGAAGAAAGAAAUGACGGUACCUGAAAAACAAGCCACGGCUAACUACGUGCCAGCAGCCGCGGUAAUACGUAGGUGGCAAGCGUUGUCCGGAUUUACUGGGUGUAAAGGGCGUGUAGGCGGGGAUGCAAGUCAGAUGUGAAAUCCCGCGGCUCAACCGCGGAACUGCAUCUGAAACUGCGUCUCUUGAGUGUCGGAAGGGAAAGUGGAAUUCCUAGUGUAGCGGUGAAAUGCGUAGAUAUUAGGAGGAACACCGGUGGCGAAGGCGACUUUCUGGACGAUAACUGACGCUGAGACGCGAAAGCGUGGGGAGCAAACAGGAUUAGAUACCCCGGUAGUC